CUGCGCAUUUCACCGCUACACCAGGAAUUCCGAUCUCCCCUACCGAACUBUAGCCUGCCCGUAUCGAAUGCAGACCCGGGGUUAAGCCCCGGGCUUUCACAUCCGACGUGACAAGCCGCCUACGAGCUCUUUACGCCCAAUAAUUCCGGACAACGCUCGCACCCUACGUAUUACCGCGGCUGCUGGCACGUAGUUAGCCGGUGCUUCUUCUGCAGGUACCGUCACUUUCGCGUCUUCCCUGCUGAAAGAGGUUUACAACCCGAAGGCCGUCAUCCCUCACGCGGCGUCGCUGCAUCAGGCUUUCGCCCAUUGUGCAAUAUUCCCCACUGCUGCCUCCCGUAGGAGUCUGGGCCGUGUCUCAGUCCCAGUGUGGCCGGUCGCCCUCUCAGGCCGGCUACCCGUCGUCGCCUUGGUAGGCCGUCACCCCACCAACAAGCUGAUAGGCCGCGGGCUCAUC
This 457-nucleotide ribosomal RNA is filed under the name uncultured Streptomyces sp. RNAcentral's name for it is "partial 16S ribosomal RNA". Lineage: Bacteria; Bacillati; Actinomycetota; Actinomycetes; Kitasatosporales; Streptomycetaceae. The record is from RNAcentral.